Molecule: transfer RNA, 85 nt
Filed under: Methylorubrum podarium
Lineage: Bacteria; Pseudomonadati; Pseudomonadota; Alphaproteobacteria; Hyphomicrobiales; Methylobacteriaceae
Description: tRNA-Pro
Source: RNAcentral
GUUCUGGCUGGAGCGGGCGUGCUGCUCUGGCGCUGGGUGCGCCCAUGAUUGUGCAGCAGCGCGUGAUCCUUGCGCGCGCAGGACU